This 497-nucleotide ribosomal RNA is filed under the name uncultured bacterium. RNAcentral describes it as "partial 16S ribosomal RNA". It matches the Rfam family "Bacterial small subunit ribosomal RNA", at positions 28 to 507 of the family's 1533-position model. The record is from RNAcentral.
GACGAACGCUGGCGGCGUGCCUAAUACAUGCAAGUAGAACGCUGAAGAGAGGAGCUUGCUCUUCUUGGAUGAGUUGCGAACGGGUGAGUAACGCGUAGGUAACCUGCCUGGUAGCGGGGGAUAACUAUUGGAAACGAUAGCUAAUACCGCAUAAAAUUGAUUAUUGCAUGAUAAUUAAUUGAAAGAUGCAACUGCAUCACUACCAGAUGGACCUGCGUUGUAUUAGCUAGUUGGUGAGGUAACGGCUCACCAAGGCGACGAUACAUAGCCGACCUGAGAGGGUGAUCGGCCACACUGGGACUGAGACACGGCCCAGACUCCUACGGGAGGCAGCAGUAGGGAAUCUUCGGCCAUGGGGGGAAACCUGACCGAACAACGCCGCGGGAGUGAAGAAGGUUUUCGGAUCGUAAAGCUCUGUUGUAAGAGAAGAACGGGUGUGAGAGUGGAAAGUUCACACUGUGACGGUAUCUUACCAGAAAGGGACGGCUAACUACGUG